Molecule: ribosomal RNA, 114 nt
Filed under: Triticum aestivum (bread wheat)
Lineage: Eukaryota; Viridiplantae; Streptophyta; Magnoliopsida; Poales; Poaceae
Source: RNAcentral
GGAUGCGAUCACACCAGCACUAAAGCACCGGAUCCCAGCAGAACUCCGUAGUUAAGCGUGCUUGGGCGAGAGUAGUACUAGGAUACCUCCUGGGAAGUCCUCGUGUUGCAUUCC